AACAUUGUUACAUGUUUGCGUUGGGGAAACGAUGUGUGACACCCAGGCAGGCGUGCCCUCGGCCUAAUGGCUUCGGGCGCAACUUGCGUUCAAAGACUCGAUGGUUCACGGGAUUCUGCAAUUCACACCAAGUAUCGCAUUUCGCUGCGUUCUUCAUCGAUGCUCGUCUGACCAG
RNAcentral lists this unclassified non-coding RNA (175 nucleotides) under uncultured fungus. RNAcentral describes it as "sequence contains ITS1". Lineage: Eukaryota; Fungi. The record is from RNAcentral.